UCUAGAGUCACAUCCCAACAGCUGUCGCCCUGAUAUGCUGGCAUCCUCAGAGAGCGUCUGCUGGUCUGGCUUCACUGACAAGGGAAAUCGGUGCCCCCCAGCAAUGCUCAGAUCAGAAACACAC
This 124-nucleotide small nucleolar RNA is filed under the name Sus scrofa (pig). Its description in RNAcentral is "Small nucleolar RNA SNORA3/SNORA45 family (ENSSSCG00070004567.1)". Lineage: Eukaryota; Metazoa; Chordata; Mammalia; Artiodactyla; Suidae. The record is from RNAcentral.